AUUUAAAUAGUUUAUAAAAAAUAUUGAUUUGUGGUAUCAAAGAUACAGAAAUUGUUUUAAAUU
This 63-nucleotide transfer RNA is filed under the name Sermylassa halensis. Its description in RNAcentral is "tRNA-His". Lineage: Eukaryota; Metazoa; Arthropoda; Insecta; Coleoptera; Chrysomelidae. The record is from RNAcentral.